Bacillus rossius redtenbacheri is the source of this 2106-nucleotide long non-coding RNA. RefSeq lists it as uncharacterized. The record is from RefSeq and is a predicted model, not a curated record. The transcript has 4 exons. Lineage: Eukaryota; Metazoa; Arthropoda; Insecta; Phasmatodea; Bacillidae.
UCGCGUCGCGUCGCGUCGUGUCGCCUCCCCGCCGGCUCGCGACCACGUGACCAGGAGGUACCGUGUUCGCUGCCCGCCGCCAGGCGGCACCGACCCCGCACACGUGCAGCGCUCCGAACAGUCGACUGCUUCCUUCCCGACCACAACUCUCCUCGUCUGCUUGAAUGGCACGCAGUGAAUUAUUUUUUCGGGACUAACUUCUUGUUUGAAUAAUAAUAAAAAAAGAACUUUUUUUCUGGCUGAAAAUUUUUUUUUAUCUGAUUGAAUGCCACGGAGUGAAAUUAUUUUUUUUUCAGAAUUAACUUCUGGUUUGAAUAAAAAAAGAAAUUAGUUGUGACUCAAUUUUUUUCUCAACGAAACUACUAAGGGGGAAACGCAAGCCGUAAGCCGAAGGCUGGAUGGCCAUACCUGUACUGGAACGCGGUCCUUCCUAACGAGAGAAGUCUGGUCGUCUCACAGCCUGGUAGCAGCUUGCCCCAGUCAAGGAGCAGUUUGUGCUGGGGACGAAAUCGACUAAGAUCGCAAAGAUAAUUUAUUUGAAAGUUUGACAUCGCGUGCGACCGAACAUCAUGGGAACGCCCACUUAAAUGAUAGUGACGUCCGUUCCUGCUUGCAAAACCGCCAAAAACACCAAGACUGUUAGAACUUUCGUACAGAAUAGAUGUUUUCUCAGCUGGAGUAGUCUGGAUAUAAUUUUAUUUCGGCACGAAAGAAUCUCUUGCAAGCAAGUUAGUCUAGUGGUUCCAAUUUCUUCUAGAAUUUUAUUAGUCAUUCUCACUUAACUUUCCAAUGUCGCUACUGUAGUAGUCAGAUGGAAGGUCAGCGAGUUGUUUUAGAUGUGGUGGAUGUUCAGCACAUUUACCAAGACUGAAUCAUAUCUGAAUCACCAUAUAUAUAUAUAUAGGGAGUAGGUAUUGGUAAGAUACAUUCACAUAGUGAUCGUAAGCAUAAUGUGCGGUAUAACAUAUGUCAAUUCAGCAGGAAAAAUUACAUAAAAGGCAUUGUGAAAGUCUUUUUCAAUAUUUGUGGUAGUAAAUGGUUCCUUUGGAAAUAUUUUAAGAACAGAUUAUGCUGACAUAUUUGCAGUUUUAAAGGCAAGGGUUUAAAAGGCGUGUUAGUAAGGUUAUUAUCCUGUGUCAAGGGUCUGAUAUUAACCCGCAGUGUUCACUUGAACACAGUGAUAUUUAAUUCAGAGAUGUAUUAUAGCAACAAGGGAAUGUAGGGUAAAGCUAUCAUUAUUGGUCCUUUUUUCAUUACUGUUAGCCCUGCCACGAUAAUUUAAUCAAUGCUGUGUCUUCGUUGAGUUUAUUGUUGAAAUUUCUUGGUCUGCUAACUAAUUUUGGUACUUCGUUCUAAGACUGCAGCUUGACGUGCCAUGCCUGGUUCAUUAAUGUGAUGUCUUUAUUAGUGAUAGAAUUACCAUGUGAUAGCCAUACAUUUAUACUGUAUCAAAUACUGUGGUUUUCCUGCCAUCUUCGGCUCAUAAUGCAGGUGUGUGAUACAUAGUCCUGCUGCAGAUGCAAGGGCAUUUCAUAGAGUGGUAGGUAGCCCCAUUACAUUCCUGCAUCAAACACUUCAGUUACAACCAUCUUAAAGUUUUCUGACACAUAGCUAGGUGCUGCAACGGAAAGCCCUGUUUCAUAAUUUCGUAUUUGAUAGAGUGUCAUGUACAGCUGAAUUUUUCAAUAUUUCAUCUUACAUUAAAGACUAAGUUUUGUCCGCCAUGUUUAGCUCACAGUGGUGGUGUCUGAAGUAGUUCUAGGUUAUACAGGAACUAGGGCACCAUAGAGUGAGUACACAGAUCACAGUGGUGGUCAGAAGCAGUUCUAGAUGUUAUAAGGACUAGGGCAACAUAUAGUGUGGUACAGAGGACAUGUCGUGGUCACAGUCUGUAGCAGUACCAGGUGCUCGGUGCCACAGCUAGAUGGAACAGAGGACAUCUCGUGGUCACAGUGGUGGAGACUGUAGCAGUCCCAGGUGCUAGGUGGAACAGAGGACAUGUGGUGGAGACUGUAGUACCGGGUGCUAGGUGCGACAGCUGGCACGGAGGAUAUGCCCAGCUCAAGGAGCUAGGCGCGCGGCAGUGAUGGAGGCCGGCUAGGACAU